AUGGCUCAUUAUAUAAGUUAUCGUUUAUUUGAUAGUACCUUCCUACUUGGAUAACUGUGGUAAUUCUAGAGCUAAUACAUGCUAAAAAUCCCGACUCCGGAAGGGAUGUAUUUAUUAGAUUAAAAACCAAUGCCCCCUGGGCUCUCUGGUGAUUCAUGAUAACUCCUCGAAUCGCAUGGCCUUGUGCUGGCGAUGGUUCAUUCAAAUUUCUUCCCUAUCAACUUUCGAUGUUUGGGUAGUGGCCAAACAUGGUUGCAACGGGUAACGGAGGGUUAGGGCUCGACCCCGGAGAAGGAGCCUGAGAAACGGCUACUACAUCCAAGGAAGGCAGCAGGCGCGCAAAUUACCCAAUCCCGACUCGGGGAGGUAGUGACAAUAAAUACUGAUACAGGGCUCUUUUGGGUCUUGUAAUCGGAAUGAGUACAAUUUAAAUCCCUUAACGAGGAACAAUUGGAGGGCAAGUCUGGUGCCAGCAGCCGCGGUAAUUCCAGCUCCAAUAGCGUAUAUUAAAGUUGUUGUGGUUAAAAAGCUCGUAGUUGAACCUUGGGCCUGGCUGGCCGGUCCGCCUCACCGCGUGUACUGGUCCGGCCGGGCCUUUCCCUCUGUGGAACCCCAUGCCCUUCACUGGGUGUGGCGGGGAAACAGGACGUUUACUUUGAAAAAAUUAGAGUGCUCCAGGCAGGCCUAUGCUCGAAUACAUUAGCAUGGAAUAAUGAAAUAGGACGUGCGGUUCUAUUUUGUUGGUUUCUAGGACCGCCGUAAUGAUUAAUAGGGACAGUCGGGGGCAUCAGUAUUCAAUUGUCAGAGGUGAAAUUCUUGGAUUUAUUGAAGACUAACUACUGCGAAAGCAUUUGCCAAGGAUGUUUUCAUUAAUCAGGAACGAAAGUUAGGGGAUCGAAGACGAUCAGAUACCGUCGUAGUCUUAACCAUAAACUAUGCCGACUAGGGAUCGGACGAUGUUAAUUUUUGACUCGUUCGGCACCUUGCGAG
RNAcentral lists this ribosomal RNA (990 nucleotides) under Balansia sp. DCG-2018a. RNAcentral's name for it is "SSU rRNA". It matches the Rfam family "Eukaryotic small subunit ribosomal RNA", at positions 93 to 1094 of the family's 1831-position model. The record is from RNAcentral. Lineage: Eukaryota; Fungi; Ascomycota; Sordariomycetes; Hypocreales; Clavicipitaceae.